Molecule: transfer RNA, 67 nt
Filed under: Aeolothrips xinjiangensis
Lineage: Eukaryota; Metazoa; Arthropoda; Insecta; Thysanoptera; Aeolothripidae
Description: tRNA-Val
Source: RNAcentral
UAAAUUAAAGCUUUUGGAAGCAAUUCAUUUACACUGAAAAGAUGUCUGUCGAUUCAGACUAAUUUAA